GGUUAAGCGACUAAGCGUACACGGUGGAUGCCCUGGCAGUCAGAGGCGAUGAAGGACGUGCUAAUCUGCGAAAAGCGCCGGCGAGGUGAUAUGAACCUUUGACCCGGCGAUGUCCGAAUGGGGAAACCCAGUGCAAUCCGUUGCACUAUCGUUAACUGAAUACAUAGGUUAACGAGGCGAACCGGGGGAACUGAAACAUCUAAGUACCCCGAGGAAAAGAAAUCAACCGAGAUUCCCCCAGUAGCGGCGAGCGAACGGGGAGCAGCCCGGAGUCUGAAUCAGCUUGUGUGUUAGUGGAACGGUCUGGAAAGUCCGACGGUACAGGGUGAUAGUCCCGUACACGAAAAUGCACAUGCUGUGAACUCGAAGAGUAGGGCGGGACACGUGGUAUCCUGUCUGAAUAUGGGGGGACCAUCCUCCAAGGCUAAAUACUCCUGACUGACCGAUAGUGAACCAGUACCGUGAGGGAAAGGCGAAAAGAACCCCGGCGAGGGGAGUGAAAAAGAACCUGAAACCGUGUACGUACAAGCAGUGGGAGCCUCUUUAUGGGGUGACUGCGUACCUUUUGUAUAAUGGGUCAGCGACUUAUAUUCUGUAGCAAGGUUAACCGUAUAGGGGAGCCGAAGGGAAACCGAGUCUUAACUGGGCGUUAAGUUGCAGGGUAUAGACCCGAAACCCGGUGAUCUAGCCAUGGGCAGGUUGAAGGUUGGGUAACACUAACUGGAGGACCGAACCGACUAAUGUUGAAAAAUUAGCGGAUGACCUGUGGCUGGGGGUGAAAGGCCAAUCAAACCGGGAGAUAGCUGGUUCUCCCCGAAAGCUAUUUAGGUAGCGCCUCGUGAACUCAUCUUCGGGGGUAGAGCACUGUUUCGGCUAGGGGGCCAUCCCGGCUUACCAACCCGAUGCAAACUACGAAUACCGAAGAAUGUUAUCACGGGAGACACACGGCGGGUGCUAACGUCCGUCGUGAAGAGGGAAACAACCCAGACCGCCAGCUAAGGUCCCAAAGUCAUGGUUAAGUGGGAAACGAUGUGGGAAGGCACAGACAGCCAGGAUGUUGGCUUAGAAGCAGCCAUCAUUUAAAGAAAGCGUAAUAGCUCACUGGUCGAGUCGGCCUGCGCGGAAGAUGUAACGGGGCUAAACCAUGCACCGAAGCUGCGGCAGCGACACUAUGUGUUGUUGGGUAGGGGAGCGUUCUGUAAGCCGUUGAAGGUGUGCUGUGAGGCAUGCUGGAGGUAUCAGAAGUGCGAAUGCUGACAUAAGUAACGAUAAAGCGGGUGAAAAGCCCGCUCGCCGGAAGACCAAGGGUUCCUGUCCAACGUUAAUCGGGGCAGGGUGAGUCGACCCCUAAGGCGAGGCCGAAAGGCGUAGUCGAUGGGAAACAGGUUAAUAUUCCUGUACUUGGUGUUACUGCGAAGGGGGGACGGAGAAGGCUAUGUCAGCCGGGCGACGGUUGUCCCGGUUUAAGCAUGUAGGCGGAGGUUCCAGGUAAAUCCGGUACCUUAUUAACGCUGAGGUGUGAUGACGAGGCACUACGGUGCUGAAGUGAUAAAUGCCCUGCUUCCAGGAAAAGCCUCUAAGCAUCAGGUAACACGAAAUCGUACCCCAAACCGACACAGGUGGUCAGGUAGAGAAUACCAAGGCGCUUGAGAGAACUCGGGUGAAGGAACUAGGCAAAAUGGUGCCGUAACUUCGGGAGAAGGCACGCUGAUGUGUAGGUGAAGCCCCUGCGGGCGGAGCUGAAAUCAGUCGAAGAUACCAGCUGGCUGCAACUGUUUAUUAAAAACACAGCACUGUGCAAACACGAAAGUGGACGUAUACGGUGUGACGCCUGCCCGGUGCCGGAAGGUUAAUUGAUGGGGUUAGCGGCAACGCGAAGCUCUUGAUCGAAGCCCCGGUAAACGGCGGCCGUAACUAUAACGGUCCUAAGGUAGCGAAAUUCCUUGUCGGGUAAGUUCCGACCUGCACGAAUGGCGUAAUGAUGGCCAGGCUGUCUCCACCCGAGACUCAGUGAAAUUGAACUCGCUGUGAAGAUGCAGUGUACCCGCGGCAAGACGGAAAGACCCCGUGAACCUUUACUAUAGCUUGACACUGAACACUGGUCCUUGAUGUGUAGGAUAGGUGGGAGGCUUUGAAGCGUGGACGCCAGUCUGCGUGGAGCCAACCUUGAAAUACCACCCUUUAAUGGCUGGUGUUCUAACGUAGACCCGUAAUCCGGGUUGCGGACAGUGUCUGGUGGGUAGUUUGACUGGGGCGGUCUCCUCCCAAAGAGUAACGGAGGAGCACGAAGGUUGGCUAAUCCUGGUCGGACAUCAGGAGGUUAGUGCAAUGGCAUAAGCCAGCUUGACUGCGAGCGUGACGGCGCGAGCAGGUGCGAAAGCAGGUCAUAGUGAUCCGGUGGUUCUGAAUGGAAGGGCCAUCGCUCAACGGAUAAAAGGUACUCCGGGGAUAACAGGCUGAUACCGCCCAAGAGUUCAUAUCGACGGCGGUGUUUGGCACCUCGAUGUCGGCUCAUCACAUCCUGGGGCUGAAGUAGGUCCCAAGGGUAUGGCUGUUCGCCAUUUAAAGUGGUACGCGAGCUGGGUUUAGAACGUCGUGAGACAGUUCGGUCCCUAUCUGCCGUGGGCGCUGGAGAAUUGAGGGGGGCUGCUCCUAGUACGAGAGGACCGGAGUGGACGCAUCACUGGUGUUCGGGUUGUCAUGCCAAUGGCACUGCCCGGUAGCUAAAUGCGGAAGAGAUAAGUGCUGAAAGCAUCUAAGCACGAAACUUGCCCCGAGAUGAGUUCUCCCUGAGACUUUAAGUCUCCUGAAGGAACGUUGAAGACGACGACGUUGAUAGGUCGGGUGUGUAAGCGCAGCGAUGCGUUGAGCUAACCGAUACUAAUGAACCGUGAGGCUUAACCUU
This 2905-nucleotide ribosomal RNA is filed under the name Enterobacter hormaechei. RNAcentral's name for it is "23S ribosomal RNA". It matches the Rfam family "Bacterial large subunit ribosomal RNA". The record is from RNAcentral. RNAcentral also lists the same sequence under 3 other names. Lineage: Bacteria; Pseudomonadati; Pseudomonadota; Gammaproteobacteria; Enterobacterales; Enterobacteriaceae.